GAAAGCAAAAGCAGUUAAAAAAGGAAAAGCCAGCAGCCCUCAUAAACACAUUCUCUGUUCUAUUCCCGCCCCUUUUUUCUGUAAAUACUGUCUUGGCAGGGAUGGGAUGGGCCAAGCAAGGGCUUGCACAGAGCAAACGUAUCAGGCCGAGUCUGCCCUUUCCCUGCAGUCACUGCACGAAUGGCCCAGCCAGUCGGACAGCUUUAGAAACUACAGGAGAAUCUUCCAGGGAAGGGAAGGGAAUGAAAGCGUGUAAGCACUCGGGUUAAAACACAGCCAGAAGCAAACUGCAGAACUCCUCUUCGUUUCCCAUCUCAGCUUCCUCUAAUGACAACAGCAGCAGAAGCAGCAGAGGUGUUGCACCAUGUGAGCUACAACAGGGAUCAGCGCUCGGGACUACUACUGUCUCAAGAGAUGAGGAAGAAGAUUCAGCGAGUCUGUUACAGGGAACAGCUGACUAACUGUGCUCAUACAUGCAGCUAGCAUCUGUCCAUGUUCGAUAUCGCUGAAGGAACCUGCCUUUUUCGCCUCAGGAAGCAAACACUACACCUUCAAAGUAAGGUGCUUCUUGGGUAUUGAAGAAAAAAAUUGCAGAACUUCUCCAAGCUCUCCCAACACAAGUCAUUACCACCUGCAACUGCUCCUGGCGUGAGUGAAAUGAAGGCGCCAAUCCAAUUCUCAACAAAUAUCCACACCUAAAGCAUUUUGGGCUCUGAACUGGAAGAGGAUUGCACCUCUUACCCCAGUUGCCAGGGAUAUAAAAUAAAUGAUUCACUGAAGAGGAGUUAAAGCAAAACCAUGAGGCAACCUAAGGAAGAAGCUGGUACAUGGGUAAAGUGUUCAGAAUCUGCUCUACAAAGGAGCAGGUAUCAACCGCAGGGGCAAGCAAUUCAGUUUUCAUCAACGACUAAUAUUCAUCUGACGGGAAAAAAAUGUAUUAAUAGAGACUUGGAAAGGGCUCAUAAAACAAAACCAACAGCCACAAAACUUCAUAAACUUUGACAGGUGAAUCAAGCAGCUAGCAGCUGGAGCUCCAAGAGGAGACAGAGCUGACAUCAUUCUGUCUUACAAUGUGUCACCAGCUACUACAUGGACAGAAAUCACAAGAAAACCAGGACCAAAUCCAAACAGUGAGUAAACUUGUCCUGGACAGAUAACAACUACCUCCAAACCCACGCUGCAGUCUGUUGUUGUGUUUUGGCAAGCCUUUUGCAGCUCAUUACAACAAAGCUCUAAGCUCGGACUGGAUAGAGAUCUUUGCCAUGGGGAAACCAUGCAGACACGCCAUUUCAUCCUCUGGCUCCUCUCACACCUGUCCAAAAAAGUGCAAAAGCCUCACUGUGCCUCCCCACGCUAGACUGGGGCAGUGUCAGGAACUUGCUACAUUAAAACUCUUUCCUUAAAA
Rhea pennata is the source of this 1405-nucleotide long non-coding RNA. RefSeq lists it as uncharacterized. The record is from RefSeq and is a predicted model, not a curated record. The transcript is spliced from 4 exons. Lineage: Eukaryota; Metazoa; Chordata; Aves; Rheiformes; Rheidae.